GAUGAACGCUGGCGGCGUGCCUAAUACAUGCAAGUCGAGCGAACAGACGAGGAGCUUGCUCCUCUGACGUUAGCGGCGGACGGGUGAGUAACACGUGGAUAACCUACCUAUAAGACUGGGAUAACUUCGGGAAACCGGAGCUAAUACCGGAUAAUAUAUUGAACCGCAUGGUUCAAUAGUGAAAGACGGUUUUGCUGUCACUUAUAGAUGGAUCCCCCCGCCUUAGCUAGUUGGGAAGGUAACCGCUUACCAAGGCGACGAUGCGUAGCCGACCUGAGAGGGUGAUCGGCCACACUGGAACUGAGACACGGUCCAGACUCCUACGGGAGGCAGCAGUAGGGAAUCUUCCGCAAUGGGCGAAAGCCUGACGGAGCAACGCCGCGUGAGUGAUGAAGGUCUUCGGAUCGUAAAACUCUGUUAUUAGGGAAGAACAAAUGUGUAAGUAACUAUGCACGUCUUGACGGUACCUAAUCAGAAAGCCACGGCUAACUACGUG
Molecule: ribosomal RNA, 496 nt
Filed under: uncultured bacterium
Lineage: Bacteria
Description: partial 16S ribosomal RNA
Rfam family: Bacterial small subunit ribosomal RNA
Source: RNAcentral